UGGGGAAUAUUGCGCAAUGGAGGAAACUCUGACGCAGCAACGCCGCGUGAAGGAUGAAGGUUUUCGGAUUGUAAACUUCUUUGAUCGGGGACGAAAAUGACGGUACCCGAGGAACAAGCCACGGCUAACUACGUGCCAGCAGCCGCGGUAAUACGUAGGUGGCAAGCGUUGUCCGGAAUUACUGGGUGUAAAGGGCGUGUAGGCGGGGCGGCAAGUCAGAUGUGAAAUACCGUGGCUUAACUGCGGGGGUGCAUCUGAAACUGCUGCUCUUGAGUGUCGGAGAGGAAAGUGGAAUUCCCAGUGUAGCGGUGAAAUGCGUAGAGAUUGGGAGGAACACCAGUGGCGAAGGCGACUUACUGGGCCGUAACUGACGCUGAGGCGCGAAAGCGUGGGGAGCGAACAGG
Molecule: ribosomal RNA, 404 nt
Filed under: uncultured prokaryote
Also listed under: 1 other name
Description: bacterial SSU rRNA
Rfam family: Bacterial small subunit ribosomal RNA
Source: RNAcentral